RNAcentral lists this ribosomal RNA (468 nucleotides) under uncultured bacterium. RNAcentral's name for it is "partial 16S ribosomal RNA". It matches the Rfam family "Bacterial small subunit ribosomal RNA", at positions 28 to 507 of the family's 1533-position model. The record is from RNAcentral.
GACGAACGCUGGCGGCGUGCUUAACACAUGCAAGUCAAACGGAAAGGCCCUGCUCUUGUGGGUCUCUCGAGUGCCGAACGGGUGAGUAACACGUGUGUAACCUGCCCUUGACUUUGGGAUAACUUCAGGAAACUCGGGCUAAUACACCAUAUGAGCUCCUGCUGCAUAGUGGUGGUUGGAAAAUUUCGGCGGUUUGGGAUGGACUCGCGGCUUAUCCGCUUGUUGGUGGGGUAGUGGAUUACCAAGGCUUUGACGGGUAGGCGGCCUAGGAGGGUGACCGGCGACAUUGGGACUGAGGUAGGGCCCAGACUCCUACGGGAGGCAGCAGUGGAAAAUAUUGCGGAGUAGGGCGGCGCGUGAUACGACAGCGCCGCGUGCGGGAUGACGGGCUUCGGGUUGUAAACCGCUUUCGCCUGUGACGAAGCGUGAGUGACGGUAAUGGGUAAGGAAGCAACGGCUAACUACGUG